UCCCUUCCAUCCACCUGUUUCCAUGUGUCCCCAUGUCCCCAUACCCCCAUGUCCUGAUAGCUCCAUGUCCUGGUGUCCUCAUACCACCAUGAUUUCCCCACAUCACCAUGAUAUCCUCAUGUCCCCUCCAUGUCCCCAUGUCUCCAUGAUUUCCUCACUGCCCAUGUCCCCACUGCCCUCUCACUUCCCAGUGUCCCCAGAUGCCGUGUCCCCGGUGCCACAUAGGAUCAGCCCCACACCUUAGUGCCUCACCGCACUGGAGAGAACUCAGGGAUGAGUCCUUGGAUGAAGCCUUGAUGUGGGGACGGCAUCAUCUCGGGGUGGUCCUGGGGGACAGAAAUGCCGGGGUGUGCUGAGUGCUGGGACUUGGGGGCUUUGGGCUCAGUGCCAUCGGGAUCCCAGCACUCGGUGUUCUUCCUCUGAUCCCUGGCUUCCCCCUAUGCCCCGGGGACAGGGCAGGGGAUGGGGCUGAGCCUGCAUGCCAGGCUCAGUCCAUGCCAGGGGAGUCUGCCAAGCCCAGGGGCAUUUGGAGUUGUGGGAGGGGCUCUGGGAGGAUAAAUGCAGCCCUGGCCUCCUGUAGCCUCACCCAGCUCCCAGAGCACGGACGAAGAUGAAGGCGGCUGCGCUCAGCCUCGUGAUGCUCCUCUCUGCCCUGUGCUGCACAGUGGAAGCUCAGCCAGCUGUGGAUGUACAGCCUGCGGAAGUUGCUGCGGCGCUGCCACCUGACAAUUUUGAUCUUGAUGACCCUCUCGUUCGCAGUCGCUUAUUGGAGAAUGCCCUGCGUGUGAGACGCGUGGCCCUGGAUCUACAUGUCUAGUGAUGCCCUUUGACAUCCUCUGAUGACCAGUGCUGCCCUCUGAUGACCAGUGCUGCCCUCUGAUGACCAGUGAAGGCCUUGAUGUUCAAUGACACCCUCUGAUGAUCAAUAAAUCCCCCAGCAAAGCUACA
Molecule: long non-coding RNA, 948 nt
Organism: Numida meleagris (helmeted guineafowl)
Lineage: Eukaryota; Metazoa; Chordata; Aves; Galliformes; Numididae
Exons: 5
Source: RefSeq, a predicted model, not a curated record